This 1479-nucleotide ribosomal RNA is filed under the name metagenome. Its description in RNAcentral is "bacterial LSU rRNA". It matches the Rfam family "Bacterial large subunit ribosomal RNA", at positions 1110 to 2454 of the family's 2925-position model. The record is from RNAcentral.
AAGCAGCCACCCUUGAAAGAGUGCGUAAUAGCUCACUGGUCUAGUGAUUCCGCGCCGACAAUGUAGCGGGGCUCAAGCGUACCGCCGAAGUCGUGUCAUUCAUACAACAGGGCCAACGCCUGUAUGGAUGGGUAGGGGAGCGUCGUGUGCCGGGUGAAGCCGCAGCGGAAGCUAGUGGUGGACGGUUCACGAGUGAGAAUGCAGGCAUGAGUAGCGAUACACACGUGAGAAACGUGUGCGCCGAUUGACUAAGGGUUCCUGGGUCAAGCUGAUCUGCCCAGGGUAAGUCGGGACCUAAGGCGAGGCCGACAGGCGUAGUCGAUGGAUAACCGGUUGAUAUUCCGGUACCCGCUGUGAAGCGUCAAACAUCGAGCAUCGUGAUGCUAAGGCCGUGAAGCCGUUCCGGACCCUUCGGGGAAUGGAAAGUGGUGGAGCCGCCGGCCCAAGCGGUUAGUAGGUGAGUGAUGGGGUGACGCAGGAAGGUAGUCCAUCCCGGGCGGUGGUUGUCCCGGGGUAAGGGUGUAGGACGAGUGGUAGGCAAAUCCGCCAUUCAUUAAGUCUGAGACCUGAUGCCGAGCCGAUUGUGGUGAAGUGGAUGAUCCUAUGCUGUCGAGAAAAUCCUCUAGCGAGUUUCAUGGCGGCCCGUACCCUAAACCGACUCAGGUGGUCAGGUAGAGAAUACCGAGGCGUUCGGGUGAACUAUGGUUAAGGAACUCGGCAAAAUGCCCCCGUAACUUCGGGAGAAGGGGGGCCAUCACUGGUGAAGGCAUUUACUGUCUGAGCUGGGGGUGGCCGCAGAGACCAGCGAGAAGCGACUGUUUACUAAAAACACAGGUCCGUGCGAAGCCGUAAGGCGAUGUAUACGGACUGACGCCUGCCCGGUGCUGGAACGUUAAGGGGACCGGUUAGUCACUCUUCGGGGUGGCGAAGCUGAGAACUUAAGCGCCAGUAAACGGCGGUGGUAACUAUAACCAUCCUAAGGUAGCGAAAUUCCUUGUCGGGUAAGUUCCGACCUGCACGAAUGGCGUAACGACUUCUCGACUGUCUCAACCAUAGGCCCGGUGAAAUUGCACUACGAGUAAAGAUGCUCGUUUCGCGCAGCAGGACGGAAAGACCCCGGGACCUUUACUACAGUUUGAUAUUGGUGUUCGGUUCGGCUUGUGUAGGAUAGCUGGGAGACUGUGAACUCUGGACGCCAGUUCAGGGGGAGUCGUCGUUGAAAUACCAGUCUGGUCGUGCUGGAUGUCUAACCUGGGUCCGUGAUCCGGAUCAGGGACAGUGUCUGAUGGGUAGUUUAACUGGGGCGGUUGCCUCCUAAAGAGUAACGGAGGCGCCCAAAGGUUCCCUCAGCCUGGUUGGCAAUCAGGUGUUGAGUGUAAGUGCACAAGGGAGCUUGACUGUGAGACCGACGGGUCGAGCAGGGACGAAAGUCGGGACUAGUGAUCCGGCGGUGGCUUGUGGAAGCGCCGUCGCUCAACG